RNAcentral lists this ribosomal RNA (369 nucleotides) under uncultured bacterium. Its description in RNAcentral is "bacterial SSU rRNA". It matches the Rfam family "Bacterial small subunit ribosomal RNA", at positions 28 to 407 of the family's 1533-position model. The record is from RNAcentral.
AACGAACGCUGGCGGCAUGCCUAACACAUGCAAGUCGAACGCGUGUAGCAAUACACGAGUGGCGAACGGGUGAGUAACACGUGGGUGACCUGCCCUCAGCUCUGGGAUAAGCCUGGGAAACCGGGUCUAAUACUGGAUAUGACUCCAUGACGCAUGUUGUGGGGUGGAAAGCCUUGUGCGGCUGAGGAUGGGCCCGCGGCCUAUCAGCUUGUUGGUGGGGGAUGGCCUACCAAGGCGACGACGGGUAGCCGGCCUGAGAGGGCGACCGGCCACACUGGGACUGAGACACGGCCCAGACUCCUACGGGAGGCAGCAGUGGGGAAUAUUGCGCAAUGGGCGAAAGCCUGACGCAGCGACGCCGCGUGGGGA